Long non-coding RNA from Thalassophryne amazonica, 105 nucleotides. RefSeq lists it as uncharacterized. NCBI's taxonomy places the organism in Eukaryota, Metazoa, Chordata, Actinopteri, Batrachoidiformes, Batrachoididae. The transcript is spliced from 3 exons. The record is from RefSeq and is a predicted model, not a curated record.
UUCAGCACAUACAUGAAAAAAUGUUUAUUAUUCCAGACUGAGAUGUGCCGCAUAUCAGCUGCAUUGUGAGGGAGCCUGAGCACUAGUUGCCUGAGUGAUUGAGGA